RNAcentral lists this ribosomal RNA (488 nucleotides) under Enterococcus hirae. RNAcentral describes it as "bacterial SSU rRNA". It matches the Rfam family "Bacterial small subunit ribosomal RNA", at positions 56 to 515 of the family's 1533-position model. Lineage: Bacteria; Bacillati; Bacillota; Bacilli; Lactobacillales; Enterococcaceae. The record is from RNAcentral.
UGCAAGUCGAACGCUUCUUUUUCCACCGGAGCUUGCUCCACCGGAAAAAGAGGAGUGGCGAACGGGUGAGUAACACGUGGGUAACCUGCCCAUCAGAAGGGGAUAACACUUGGAAACAGGUGCUAAUACCGUAUAACAAUCGAAACCGCAUGGUUUUGAUUUGAAAGGCGCUUUCGGGUGUCGCUGAUGGAUGGACCCGCGGUGCAUUAGCUAGUUGGUGAGGUAACGGCUCACCAAGGCGACGAUGCAUAGCCGACCUGAGAGGGUGAUCGGCCACAUUGGGACUGAGACACGGCCCAAACUCCUACGGGAGGCAGCAGUAGGGAAUCUUCGGCAAUGGACGAAAGUCUGACCGAGCAACGCCGCGUGAGUGAAGAAGGUUUUCGGAUCGUAAAACUCUGUUGUUAGAGAAGAACAAGGAUGAGAGUAACUGUUCAUCCCUUGACGGUAUCUAACCAGAAAGCCACGGCUAACUACGUGCCAGCAGC